CGGCAACAGCUCAAAUUUGAAAUCUGGCUCUCCUUGGGAGCCCGAGUUGUAAUUUGCAGAGGGUGCUUUGGCUUUGGUAGCGGUCUAAGUUCCUUGGAACAGGACAUCACAGAGGGUGAGAAUCCCGUAUGUGAUCGCUCCCCAUCGCCGUGUAAAGCCCCUUC
This 164-nucleotide ribosomal RNA is filed under the name Polyschema sp. Its description in RNAcentral is "partial large subunit ribosomal RNA". It matches the Rfam family "Eukaryotic large subunit ribosomal RNA", at positions 99 to 258 of the family's 3401-position model. Lineage: Eukaryota; Fungi; Ascomycota; Dothideomycetes; Pleosporales; Latoruaceae. The record is from RNAcentral.